GACGAACGCUGGCGGCGUGCCUAAUACAUGCAAGUAGAACGCAGUUGCGAACGGGUGAGUAACGCGUAGUUAACUGCCUCAUAGAGGGGGAUAAAGAUUGGAAACGAUAGCCAAUACCGCAUACUGUGGGCUGGACCUGCGUUGCAUUAGUUAGUUGGUGAGGUGAAGGCUCACCAAGGCGACGAUACAUAGCCGGCCUGAGAGGGUGUGCGGCCAAGCUGGCACGGGGGCGCGGCCCAGACUCCUACGGGAGGCAACAGGUGGGAAUCUUCGGCCAUGGACGGAAGUCUGACCGAGGCACGCCGCGGGAGUGUAGGAGGUUUUCGGAGCGUAAAGCUCUGUUAUUAGAGAAGCGGUAACUAACGAGAAAGGCACGGCUAACUACGUGCCAGCAGCCGCGGUAAUAC
This 407-nucleotide ribosomal RNA is filed under the name uncultured bacterium. Its description in RNAcentral is "partial 16S ribosomal RNA". It matches the Rfam family "Bacterial small subunit ribosomal RNA", at positions 28 to 526 of the family's 1533-position model. The record is from RNAcentral.